RNAcentral lists this ribosomal RNA (360 nucleotides) under Amphinemura sulcicollis. Its description in RNAcentral is "partial 12S ribosomal RNA". It matches the Rfam family "Microsporidia small subunit ribosomal RNA", at positions 752 to 1207 of the family's 1311-position model. The record is from RNAcentral. Lineage: Eukaryota; Metazoa; Arthropoda; Insecta; Plecoptera; Nemouridae.
AGCUUGAGUAGUAUUAGUUAUGUUCUUGAAACUCAAAGAAUUUGGCGGUGUUUUAGUCUUUUCAGAGGAACCUGUCCCGUAAUCGAUAAUCCACGUUAAACCUUACUUAUUUUUGUUAUCAGCUUGUAUACCGCCGUCGUCAGAAUGUCCUAAGAAGGGUUUAAUUUUCUUAAAUUUUUAUUAUAAAUGAUGUCAGGUCAAGGUGUAGCUUACGGAUAAGUGGAGAUGGGUUACAAUAAAUAUAUUUAUAACGGAUAAGACUUUGAAAUAAGUUUUUGAAGGUGGAUUUGAUGGUAAUUGACUUAAUUAAAUUAAUUUGAUUUUAGCUCUAAAACAUGCACACAUCGCCCGUCGCUCUUA